RNAcentral lists this long non-coding RNA (366 nucleotides) under Phascolarctos cinereus (koala). RNAcentral's name for it is "lncRNA (ENSPCIG00000000371.2)". Lineage: Eukaryota; Metazoa; Chordata; Mammalia; Diprotodontia; Phascolarctidae. The record is from RNAcentral.
UUUUUGGUGCUUUCCUUCAGUUUGCAGAAUAGUCUUCCCUAAAGAUGAAGGGACAGAGUGAUCCCACAUUCUUAAGUUUAGAGUCUGAACUCAUUCUCCUAGAGAACAGCACACAUUUCUGACAUGCUCUUUCUGCCCACCAGAGCUUUUGGGGGUCUCUGGGGCUUCAGUGGAAAAUUAAGAGGCACCAAGUAUUCUAUUCCUUCUAUAGGGGGAAUGUACACUUAAUCAUCUGGAUUCUUCAAGUUCAUCAUUCAGCAAUCUUUAUCAUUAGUGAGUCAUUUCUUGACCUUUACAACUGGUUCUUCUGGGCUGAUUGGAAAAAACCACCUGUAUGAAGUAUCACUAGGAAGGUUCACAGAACGG